Anguilla rostrata (American eel) is the source of this 1129-nucleotide long non-coding RNA. RefSeq lists it as uncharacterized. The transcript has 2 exons. The record is from RefSeq and is a predicted model, not a curated record. NCBI's taxonomy places the organism in Eukaryota, Metazoa, Chordata, Actinopteri, Anguilliformes, Anguillidae.
CCGCGCGCUGGAGGUGAAGCAGCUGCCAUGACUGCAGUCUGACUGAGAAACGCAGUGCUGUCCCGCCAACCCCGCGCAGUGGGCAAACGCCGAGAAGCUAAACCGCCAAAAACCGCGCCCCCCCCCACCGAGGCUGCCACCCGAGAAUAGCCCACAGUCCGGCGCGUCUGUCUGUCUGACAGGGGUCAAAUCUGAAAUCCUCCAGGAAAGGCAGCUAUCGGUAUGCUUGGGCUGAGAAAUACCCACAAUGCACCACGGCUGGCUUCAAACCCCCCGCCCCCAACUCCCCCACUCCCCACCCCCCCCCCGUUCCUAACCCUCCCAUAUCGCACCACUUGCCCUCAUUUGUGUUUCACAGAUUCGAGUCAGAAGUCAGUUUGCUGCAUACCAAGUGUUUCUGCAGCUUCUGUCUCUCACUCCGCUCGUACGCACACAGCUCCUGCAGUCUGCACACACGCACAGGAUCGCCCGGCAGCACAAAGACCUUCUCACUUAUUCAACUGAUUUGUUUUGCCAGAAUAACCCCUGUCACCCCCUUAAACCCCGCCCCCUGAAAAAAAAAAAAACCUUUUUCUGCUGCUAUCCACUCUACAGAGACUAACAUUUGGCUUUUUCCUUUUGCGGCAGAUUACUGUAACGCUAUUGUAAAACAACUUCCUGCCUCUCCUGGCUGUAGCUGCACUUAUCCACCAAGACAGCCGCCCCCCCUCCCCCCCCCUCCCCUCCCCUCCACCGCAGCAACAGGAGUACAAAACGGAAAACUCUUUAUCUGAAACUCUUAUCGUGGAAUAUGUUAAGAAAGCCUAAUCUAUCCAUCUGUCCCACCUAACAAGCUGAGAGAGAGGAGAGAGAGAGGGAGAGAAAGAACGAGAGAGAGACGUGGGGCACUGCAUGCAAUAACAAGGGCUUCUGCUGGGAAGCGGUGAACAGGAGGCUGGCUGGAGGAGCGGACUUACCCCCGUCCAAAUAACUUCGGCCCAGUGCAGGCAGUGACGAAGAGCCCAGAUGCACCCGAGCCCAGGCAGACGCAUCGUUCUCCUCCUGCGAACACACCAAAAGCCUUAGCAAAACACAGAGACCUGUCUGGCAAGAUAACGGCUCUUACUUCUUAAAAUAAAAAAAAUAAAAA